This 253-nucleotide ribosomal RNA is filed under the name uncultured bacterium. RNAcentral describes it as "partial 16S ribosomal RNA". It matches the Rfam family "Bacterial small subunit ribosomal RNA", at positions 524 to 776 of the family's 1533-position model. The record is from RNAcentral.
UACAGAGGUCCCGAGCGUUGUUCGGAUUCACUGGGCGUAAAGGGUGCGUAGGUGGCUGGGAAAGUUUGAUGUGAAAGCUCAGGGCUUAACCCUGAAAUGGCAUUGAAUACUGCCUGGCUGGAGGUUUGGAGGGGGGACUGGAAUUCUUGGUGUAGCAGUGAAAUGCGUAGAUAUCAAGAGGAACACCGGUGGCGAAGGCGGGUCUCUGGGCCGAUACUGACGCUGAGGAGCGAAAGCGUGGGGAGCGAACAGG